GACGAACGCUGGCGGCGUGCCUAAUACAUGCCAGUCGAACGCACAGUUUAUACCGUAGCUUGCUACACCAUAGACUGUGAGUUGCGAACGGGUGAGUAACGCGUAGGUAACCUGCCUGGUAGCGGGGGAUAACUAUUGGAAACGAUAGCUAAUACCGCAUAAUAUUGAUUAUUGCAUGAUAAUUAAUUGAAAGGUGCAAUUGCACCACUACCAGAUGGACCUGCGUUGUAUUAGCUAGUAGGUGAGGUAACGGCUCACCUAGGCGACGAUACAUAGCCGACCUGAGAGGGUGAUCGGCCACACUGGGACUGAGACACGGCCCAGACUCCUACGGGAGGCAGCAGUAGGGAAUCUUCGGCAAUGGACGAAAGUCUGACCGAGCAACGCCGCGUGAGUGAAGAAGGUUUUCGGAUCGUAAAGCUCUGUUGUAAGAGAAGAACGGGUGUGAGAGUGGAAAGUUCACACUGUGACGGUAUCUUACCAGAAAGGGACGGCUAACUACGUG
This 505-nucleotide ribosomal RNA is filed under the name uncultured bacterium. RNAcentral describes it as "partial 16S ribosomal RNA". It matches the Rfam family "Bacterial small subunit ribosomal RNA", at positions 28 to 507 of the family's 1533-position model. The record is from RNAcentral.